This 256-nucleotide ribosomal RNA is filed under the name uncultured bacterium. Its description in RNAcentral is "partial 16S ribosomal RNA". It matches the Rfam family "Bacterial small subunit ribosomal RNA", at positions 524 to 776 of the family's 1533-position model. The record is from RNAcentral.
UACAGAGGGUGCGAGCGUUGUCCGGAAUCACUGGGCGUAAAGGGCGCGUAGGCGGCUUGAUAAGCGUGCGGUGAAAGCCCGGGGCUCAACCCCGGGUCGGCCGUGCGAACUGUCGAGCUGGAGCACUGUAGGAGGCAGGUGGAAUUCCGGGUGUAGCGGUGGAAUGCGUAGAGAUCCGGAAGAACACCGGGUGGCGAAGGCGGCCUGCUGGGCAGUGGCUGACGCUGAGGGCGCGACAGCGUGGGGAGCAAACAGG